CCUACGGGAGGCAGCAGUGGGGAAUUUUGGACAAUGGGGGCAACCCUGAUCCAGCAAUGCCGCGUGUGCGAAGAAGGCCUUCGGGUUGUAAAGCACUUUUGUCAGGGAAGAAAUCUUUCAGGCUAAUACCCUUGGAAGGAUGACGGUACCUGAAGAAUAAGCACCGGCUAACUACGUGCCAGCAGCCGCGGUAAUACGUAGGGUGCAAGCGUUAAUCGGAAUUACUGGGCGUAAAGCGUGCGCAGGCGGUUUGUUAAGACAGUCGUGAAAUCCCCGGGCUUAACCUGGGAACUGCGAUUGUGACUGGCAAGCUAGAGUACGGCAGAGGGGGGUGGAAUUCCUGGUGUAGCAGUGAAAUGCGUAGAGAUCAGGAGGAACACCGAUGGCGAAGGCAGCCCCCUGGGCUAGUACUGACGCUCAUGCACGAAAGCGUGGGGAGCAAACAGGAUUAGAUACCCUGGUAGUCCACGCCCUAAACGAUGUCAAUUAGUUGUUGGUUCUUUAUUGAAUCAGUAACGAAGCUAACGCGUGAAAUUGACCGCCUGGGGAGUACGGUCGCAAGAUUAAAACUCAAAGGAAUUGACGG
This 586-nucleotide ribosomal RNA is filed under the name uncultured beta proteobacterium. RNAcentral's name for it is "bacterial SSU rRNA". It matches the Rfam family "Bacterial small subunit ribosomal RNA", at positions 338 to 916 of the family's 1533-position model. Lineage: Bacteria; Pseudomonadati; Pseudomonadota; Betaproteobacteria. The record is from RNAcentral.